UGGGGAAUAUUGGACAAUGGGCGAAAGCCUGAUCCAGCAAUGCCGCGUGAGUGAUGAAGGCCUUAGGGUUGUAAAGCUCUUUUACCAGGGAUGAUAAUGACAGUACCUGGAGAAUAAGCUCCGGCUAACUCCGUGCCAGCAGCCGCGGUAAUACGGAGGGAGCUAGCGUUGUUCGGAAUUACUGGGCGUAAAGCGUACGUAGGCGGUGACUCAAGUCAGAGGUGAAAGCCUGGAGCUCAACUCCAGAACUGCCUUUGAAACUAGGUCGCUAGAAUCACGGAGAGGUGAGUGGAAUUCCGAGUGUAGAGGUGAAAUUCGUAGAUAUUCGGAAGAACACCAGUGGCGAAGGCGGCUAACUGGUCCGGUACUGACGCUGAGGUGCGAAAGCGUGGGGAGCAAACAGGAUUAGAUACCCUUGUAGUCCCUGAGCGGGCUGGCAAGGCGCAU
This 447-nucleotide ribosomal RNA is filed under the name uncultured bacterium. Its description in RNAcentral is "bacterial SSU rRNA". It matches the Rfam family "Bacterial small subunit ribosomal RNA", at positions 355 to 825 of the family's 1533-position model. The record is from RNAcentral.